GGCCCUGUAGCUCAGGGGAUAGAGCAACGGUUUCCUAAACCGUGUGCCGCAGGUUCGAUUCCUGCCAGGGCCGCCA
Molecule: transfer RNA, 76 nt
Filed under: Bacillota bacterium
Lineage: Bacteria; Bacillati; Bacillota
Description: Firmicutes bacterium (anaerobic digester metagenome) tRNA-Arg
Rfam family: tRNA
About the family: Transfer RNA (tRNA) molecules are approximately 80 nucleotides in length.
Source: RNAcentral